Molecule: ribosomal RNA, 1173 nt
Filed under: Staphylococcus aureus
Lineage: Bacteria; Bacillati; Bacillota; Bacilli; Caryophanales; Staphylococcaceae
Description: partial 23S ribosomal RNA
Rfam family: Bacterial large subunit ribosomal RNA
Source: RNAcentral
CCGGCGAGUUACGAUUUGAUGCAAGGUUAAGCAGUAAAUGUGGAGCCGUAGCGAAAGCGAGUCUGAAUAGGGCGUUUAGUAUUUGGUCGUAGACCCGAAACCAGGUGAUCUACCCUUGGUCAGGUUGAAGUUCAGGUAACACUGAAUGGAGGACCGAACCGACUUACGUUGAAAAGUGAGCGGAUGAACUGAGGGUAGCGGAGAAAUUCCAAUCGAACCUGGAGAUAGCUGGUUCUCUCCGAAAUAGCUUUAGGGCUAGCCUCAAGUGAUGAUUAUUGGAGGUAGAGCACUGUUUGGACGAGGGGCCCCUCUCGGGUUACCGAAUUCAGACAAACUCCGAAUGCCAAUUAAUUUAACUUGGGAGUCAGAACAUGGGUGAUAAGGUCCGUGUUCGAAAGGGAAACAGCCCAGACCACCAGCUAAGGUCCCAAAAUAUAUGUUAAGUGGAAAAGGAUGUGGCGUUGCCCAGACAACUAGGAUGUUGGCUUAGAAGCAGCCAUCAUUUAAAGAGUGCGUAAUAGCUCACUAGUCGAGUGACACUGCGCCGAAAAUGUACCGGGGCUAAACAUAUUACCGAAGCUGUGGAUUGUCCUUUGGACAAUGGUAGGAGAGCGUUCUAAGGGCGUUGAAGCAUGAUCGUAAGGACAUGUGGAGCGCUUAGAAGUGAGAAUGCCGGUGUGAGUAGCGAAAGACGGGUGAGAAUCCCGUCCACCGAUUGACUAAGGUUUCCAGAGGAAGGCUCGUCCGCUCUGGGUUAGUCGGGUCCUAAGCUGAGGCCGACAGGCGUAGGCGAUGGAUAACAGGUUGAUAUUCCUGUACCACCUAUAAUCGUUUUAAUCGAUGGGGGGACGCAGUAGGAUAGGCGAAGCGUGCGAUUGGAUUGCACGUCUAAGCAGUAAGGCUGAGUAUUAGGCAAAUCCGGUACUCGUUAAGGCUGAGCUGUGAUGGGGAGAAGACAUUGAGUCUUCGAGUCGUUGAUUUCACACUGCCGAGAAAAGCCUCUAGAUAGAAAAUAGGUGCCCGUACCGCAAACCGACACAGGUAGUCAAGAUGAGAAUUCUAAGGUGAGCGAGCGAACUCUCGUUAAGGAACUCGGCAAAAUGACCCCGUAACUUCGGGAGAAGGGGUGCUCUUUAGGGUUAACGCCCAGAAGAGCCGCAGUGAAUAGGCCCA